AAUGAUACUUCCCCGAACCUGACAGCUCGGGGGCCGCGGUAGUAGGAGUAAUUCGCGGCGGAAGCGGCGCUCCGGCUGAAACAGGCCGCAGGGAGCUUUC
Molecule: non-coding RNA, 100 nt
Submitted as: unclassified sequences
Source: Rfam